UCUAUGGCCAUACCACCCUGAAUGCAUCUGAUCUUGUUGAUCUCAGAAGCUAAGCAGGGUUGGGUCUGGUUAGUACUUGGAUGGGAAGAGUUACUUGGCAUUUGUUAGAG
This is a ribosomal RNA of Panthera pardus (leopard), 110 nucleotides long. NCBI's taxonomy places the organism in Eukaryota, Metazoa, Chordata, Mammalia, Carnivora, Felidae. The record is from Ensembl.